UACGUAGGUGGCGAGCGUUGUCCGGAAUUACUGGGUGUAAAGGGCGUGUAGGCGGGAAUACAAGUGGGAUGUGAAAGCCCAGUGCUUAACAUUGGGACUGCAUCUUAAACUAUAUUUCUUGAGUGUUGGAGAGGAAAGCGGAAUUCCCAGUGUAGCGGUGAAAUGCGUAGAUAUUGGGAGGAACACCAGUGGCGAAGGCGGCUUUCUGGACAACAACUGACGCUGAGGCGCGAAAGCGUGGGGAGCAAACAGG
This 253-nucleotide ribosomal RNA is filed under the name uncultured bacterium. RNAcentral describes it as "partial 16S ribosomal RNA". It matches the Rfam family "Bacterial small subunit ribosomal RNA", at positions 524 to 776 of the family's 1533-position model. The record is from RNAcentral.